Cyprinus carpio (common carp) is the source of this 1062-nucleotide long non-coding RNA. The record is from Ensembl. Lineage: Eukaryota; Metazoa; Chordata; Actinopteri; Cypriniformes; Cyprinidae.
AUACUGAGCAUGUCUUUUCUUCAGGCUGUUGAUGAAGCUGUCAGGAUGUGCAAAGCUGAAGAAUGCCUUCUAAAGCAGAUAUUCUGCCUGAAGAAAAACAAGAAAUUGAAUUGUUGGAGCAGGUUUUGAAAAGUAAACACUCUAAUGAGGGCAAAAAUAAAACACUCAUUGAUUAUACUUUUAAAGUGGAAGAAAAAGUCAAACUGGUGAAAUCUGAGGCGUGCAAAAAACCCAAUCAUCACAGACGGGCCGGAGGGAAUGUGACCCAUGGAGCCCCCUGGACUCGUCCGGUUCUGGUCCGGAAAGACUGGCGGCUCAUCCGGUGUUCAGUGGAAGGCCGUCAGUCACGAAGAGCACUUCAGCGAAGAUCUCUUCCACAGGAUCCCAGCAGAAGAUGUGUGUCAAAGCGUCUUCUGCAGAUAAUGCCCCAUCAGUCUCCUGCCAAGAAGUGUCUGCAUCUGGUAGAGAUGGGAAAGUCACAACAGGAAGUAGGCAGUCUAAAGAGCAAUGAUUGCAGAAGAAAGUGUUAACCCAGCGAUCAAAGCCAGUACCAGAGAGAACCCAAUUCACAGAGAGACUGCGAGACACUGUAUCCUUUUCAGAUCAGUCCUGUUGUAAUUUGAUCAGUAUCAACUCAGACAUUAUCAGUGUAUCCAUGCAAUCGUCAUUUCUCCUGUUGAUGUGUUUUAAUCCCGAUCUAGGGCUAAACUGCCCAUUAGCUCACCUUUCUCAUCAUGGUAGAUGGCCAGAAUUAAUUUUGAAUAGUUCACCCAAAAAUGAAGAUUUGCUGAAAAUGUACUCACCCUCAGGCCUUCCAAGAUGUAGAUGAGUUUGUUUCUUCAUCAGAUUUGGAGAAAUAUAGCAUUACAUCACUUGUUCAUCAAUGGAUCCUCUGCAGUGAAUGGGUGCCGUCAGAUUGAGAAUCCAAACAGCUGAUAAAAACAUCACAAUAAUCCACAAGUAAUCCACACCACUCCAGUCCAUCAAUUAAUGUCUUGUGAAGCAAAUACCUGCAUGUUUGUAAGAAAUAAAUCUAUCUUUAAAAUGUUUUAACUUUAAACU